This is a non-coding RNA of Camellia sinensis, 1800 nucleotides long. NCBI's taxonomy places the organism in Eukaryota, Viridiplantae, Streptophyta, Magnoliopsida, Ericales, Theaceae. The record is from RefSeq and is a predicted model, not a curated record.
UUGAGUUAUGACUUUAAAACUGGAAUUGACGACCUUUAUGGGUUCAGAAAUCGAAACUGAGUACAUAGAUAUGUUAAUGGGAAUUUUGGAGCUAUUUAGGGAAAUUAAUUAGAAAUUUAUUUCGUUAGAUUCGUUAAGGUUUGUUCGGGUGGUUAACUUUGCACUGCAAAUUGAAGGCCUUAGAGGCUUCAGAAACCAGAACAGAGUACAUAGUUAUGAUCAGUAUAAUUUUUAGAGUCAUCUGAGGAGUUUAAUUGAAAUUUGAUUUCGUAUGAUUCGUAAGGGUGCGUUUGGCUCUCCCAAAUUGUGAUAGGCUUAUAUAUAGUUAAAUGUAUAGAUAUAUAUGAGAUAUAUGAGUUGAACUCAACAUUUGAGCCAAAAAUAUCUAAGGAAGAGGGAGAGAACCGUGAAAGAGAGAGAGAGAGAAGGAGAGACAAAGAUUCUCUAAGAGAAGCUCACCAUUCAUGGGGGUUUGAAGAUAAUUGAAGAGAAUUGAAGAGAGGGGAAGAAGAUCAACCAUGAAGCUUGGGAAAAUUGAAGAGAUUAAGGGAAAAAGCAAGGAAUUGAGUUAAGGUAUGUGACUUUAACUAUUAUCUUUGUAGAUAAUUCAUCUACUACAUGAAAUCAAGGAUUGACUUGGAAAAUUAACAUGUAAAUGAACAAGUGUGUUGGGUUAUAAAUGAAAUGGGUUAAACUCAAAGAAUUGAACCUUGAUUUCCUUAAAUUUGCUUGAAUUGGGUUCAAUCUUAAGAAUGAUUCAUGGAAUAACAAGAUUUGGUGUGAGAACCAACCAUGUGUAAGAUAUAUUUACAUGAUUUUGGGCAUAUAUUGUGGGAGUUUGAUUAUAUAGAAAAGAUGAGAGUUGAAUUUCUAACUUGAGGCAAAGAUUGGUUUGUUUGAGAUGAAAUUACACUUGAAUGAUGUUAGUUUAUCAUGUUGUAGAGUAAUUUUACAUGUUUUUGGGUGAUUAAAGUUGAAACCUAUCUUAGAAAAUGGAAAAACAAGUGUUAAAGCCAACCAAGAUUUUCAAACAGCAAAUUUUGCCCAGAGCCGCACAUGCGGUGGGGCUUCCCGCAUGUGCAGCAGCCCAUUUCCGGCACCAAAUCUGAUUCUGCUAAAAAAGCAUGUUGUCCCGCACAUGCGGCCCAAUUCCCGCACGUGCGGCCCUAUUUCCCGCAGGUGUGGGACAGCUCUGUUUUAGCCAACUUCAAAUAAGCAUAUCUCUUGCAUCCAGACCCCAUUUUAAGUGAUUCUUGAGCCUAAAUUCAAGCCCCGGAAGUCUAGUUUCCAAUGGUGGCAGUCUUACUCCCAAAUUCUAAGUACACAAAUAGAUAUGCCCAAAUUAGCGACGAUUGAUCACUUUCUGUCUACCGAUUUUAUACCAUUUCUUUUUCUAAACCAUUUUCCUUUCGAUUCCUCCUAUUUUCCAAGACAUGGAUUAUGACCUAUUGAGGACUAAUGAGUUUAGAACCACCAAGGCUAAUUGAUUAAAGAACAAGAAAGAGAUUGGUUAUAUUCUCAUAUUAUGCUAUGUGCAUUGUGUUUGUAGGUCAACGAGGACAUCGUCCCAUUGCUACCAGAAGCCCAGCACUGUGAGCCAUUAGGGAUCAACACUAGAAUUGUAUCGAGGUCCAUCUCUCUUUCAAACCAACCGGGUUACGCCUCCGCAUUGAGGCCUAAAUUUUUGUAUUGGGAAUUAUGUAAUUUAUUGAGUCUUAUGUAAGUGUGUGUGUGAGAUUGGUAUAAUUCAAUGAUUAUUGUAAGCAUGGAAACGUAUUUAAUUGAUUAAGUUAAUCUAAA